GUGAAUCCAAUAUUCGGUAAA
Caenorhabditis elegans is the source of this 21-nucleotide non-coding RNA. The record is from Ensembl. Lineage: Eukaryota; Metazoa; Nematoda; Chromadorea; Rhabditida; Rhabditidae.